CCUACGGGUGGCUGCAGUGAGGAAUAUUGGUCAAUGGGCGCGAGCCUGAACCAGCCAAGUAGCGUGAAGGAUGACUGCCCUACGGGUUGUAAACUUCUUUUAUAUGGGAAUAAAAUGUUCCACGUGUGGCAUUUUGUAUGUACUUUAUGAAUAAGGAUCGGCUAACUCCGUGCCAGCAGCCGCGGUAAUACGGAGGAUCCGAGCGUUAUCCGGAUUUAUUGGGUUUAAAGGGAGCGUAGAUGGGUUGUUAAGUCAGUUGUGAAAGUUUGCGGCUCAACCGUAAAAUUGCAGUUGAUACUGGCAGCCUUGAGUACAGUAGAGGUAGGCGGAAUUCGUGGUGUAGCGGUGAAAUGCUUAGAUAUCACGAAGAACUCCGAUUGCGAAGGCAGCUUACUAGACUGCAACUGACACUGAUGCUCGAAAGUGUGGGUAUCAAACAGGAUUAGAUACCCUGGUAGUC
RNAcentral lists this ribosomal RNA (460 nucleotides) under uncultured bacterium. Its description in RNAcentral is "partial 16S ribosomal RNA". It matches the Rfam family "Bacterial small subunit ribosomal RNA", at positions 338 to 795 of the family's 1533-position model. The record is from RNAcentral.